Molecule: ribosomal RNA, 468 nt
Filed under: uncultured bacterium
Lineage: Bacteria
Description: partial 16S ribosomal RNA
Rfam family: Bacterial small subunit ribosomal RNA
Source: RNAcentral
GACGAACGCUGGCGGCGUGCUUAACACAUGCAAGUCGAACGGAAAGGCCCUGCUUUUGUGGGGUGCUCGAGUGGCGAACGGGUGAGUAACACGUGAGUAACCUGCCCUUGACUUUGGGAUAACUUCAGGAAACUGGGGCUAAUACCGGAUAGGAGCUCCUGCUGCAUGGUGGGGGUUGGAAAGUUUCGGCGGUUGGGGAUGGACUCGCGGCUUAUCAGCUUGUUGGUGGGGUAGUGGCUUACCAAGGCUUUGACGGGUAGCCGGCCUGAGAGGGUGACCGGCCACAUUGGGACUGAGAUACGGCCCAGACUCCUACGGGAGGCAGCAGUGGGGAAUAUUGCACAAUGGGCGGAAGCCGGAUGCAGCAACGUCGCGUGCGGGAUGACGGCCUUCGGGUUGUAAACCGCUUGCGCAUGUGACGAAGCGUGAGUGACGGUAAUGGGUAAAGAAGCACCGGCUAACUACGUG